Molecule: ribosomal RNA, 490 nt
Filed under: uncultured bacterium
Lineage: Bacteria
Description: partial 16S ribosomal RNA
Rfam family: Bacterial small subunit ribosomal RNA
Source: RNAcentral
GAUGAACGCUAGCUACAGGCUUAACACAUGCAAGUCGAGGGGAAACGAUGAGAGAGCUUGCUCUCUUAGGCGUCGACCGGCGCACGGGUGAGUAACGCGUAUCCAACCUACCCAUUACAGGGGGAUAACCUUGCGAAAGUAAGACUAAUACCCCAUGGCAUUUUAUGGUGGCAUCAUUAUAGGAUUAAAGAUUUAUUGGUCAUGGAUGGGGAUGCGUCUGAUUAGCUUGUUGGCGGGGUAACGGCCCACCAAGGCAACGAUCAGUAGGGGUUCUGAGAGGAAGGUCCCCCACAUUGGAACUGAGACACGGUCCAAACUCCUACGGGAGGCAGCAGUGAGGAAUAUUGGUCAAUGGGCGAGAGCUUGAACCAGCCAAGUAGCGUGCAGGAUGACGGCCCUAUGGGUUGUAAACUGCUUUUAUAGGGGAAUAAAGUGAGCUACGUGUAGUUUAUUGCAUGUACCCUAUGAAUAAGGACCGGCUAAUUCCGUG